RNAcentral lists this ribosomal RNA (487 nucleotides) under uncultured bacterium. Its description in RNAcentral is "partial 16S ribosomal RNA". It matches the Rfam family "Bacterial small subunit ribosomal RNA", at positions 28 to 507 of the family's 1533-position model. The record is from RNAcentral.
GAUGAACGCUAGCGAUAGGCUUAACACAUGCAAGUCGAGGGGCAGCACAAGGUAGCUUGCUAUCUGGGUGGCGACCGGCGCACGGGUGCGUAACGCGUAUGCAACUUGCCCUAUACAGGAGGAUAACCCGUCGAAAGACGGACUAAUACUGCGUAUGCUCACAACUUGGCAUCAAGUGGUGAGGAAAGAAAUUCGGUAUAGGAUAGGCAUGCGUCCCAUUAGCUUGUUGGUGAGGUAACGGCUCACCAAGGCAACGAUGGGUAGGGGAACUGAGAGGUUUAUCCCCCACACUGGUACUGAGACACGGACCAGACUCCUACGGGAGGCAGCAGUGAGGAAUAGUGGUCAAUGGGCGCGAGCCUGAACCAGCCAAGUCGCGUGAAGGAUGACUGUCUUAUGGAUUGUAAACUUCUUUUAUACGGGAAUAACAAGAGUCACGUGUGACUCCCUGCAUGUACCGGAUGAAUAAGCAUCGGCUAACUCCGUG